UUUCUAAGGAUGAUCAAGAAUUGGAACUCUUUUUAAUAAAGAACAUUCCUUUUUGAUCUCAUUAGACAAUAAAGGUCUUAAACAGUUUUGUUUAAACCUGUGCAUAUGACACCACUCUUCAUGAACCCUCAUCUUAAAGAGAGGUUCCUCUUUGAUAAAAAGAGAUAGCCAACUUGAUGAGAAAGUUCUCCUAAGAGCCAAGUGUUCAUAUGUUUAAGUUAUACAAGCAGGCUAGCCGUCUUCGUUUCUCUUUCUUCAGAUGAUGAUCCCAAGCCUUCUGGCGAUCUCUUAAGUAUUAAGGUUCCCUCAUUUUUAAAGGGUGCUUUAAGGAAAAGAGCUCUAAAAAGCUUUUGUGUUAAGAGUAUGCCGGGGAAGGUUUUCCGGUUUAUCCCGGAGGGCUUGUAGCUCAGUUGGUUAGAGCGCGCGCUUGAUAAGCGUGAGGUCGGAGGUUCAAGUCCUCCCAGGCCCACCAAUCACUCUAUCAAUUUCAUAAAGCGCUGGCGGACUUACUUAUAGGCAAGCUUAUAGGCAAGAAGUCUAUAAACCGAUAAAGCCUAUAAAUUUGUAAGAAACUUACAUAACUUUCUGGGAAAGGGCCUUAAGUGCACUUGUAAAAGGACUGAAGAGUGAUGUGAUCACUUAAAAUGAGGUUACUCUUUGAGAGGUCCGUAGAGAAAAGACAUUUGUUUUGGCAAGGUGUUUACAAAGGGCAUUAAGAGAGGAGCUUUACUGUUUGCUUUCAGCAAUUGAGAGUCAAAGCUCUUUAAAGGCAAAGUAUCCCAUUUAAAUUGGUCUUUCCUGUAAGUCUUCUUAUUUUGAGAGUUUGGAAUGGGUUAUGCUAUUUUAGGGGCCGUAGCUCAGCUGGGAGAGCACCUGCUUUGCAAGCAGGGGGUCGUCGGUUCGAUCCCGUCCGGCU
This 916-nucleotide unclassified non-coding RNA is filed under the name Candidatus Bartonella gerbillinarum. RNAcentral describes it as "partial 16S-23S ribosomal RNA intergenic spacer". The stretch from base 396 to 469 matches the Rfam family "tRNA". The record is from RNAcentral. Lineage: Bacteria; Pseudomonadati; Pseudomonadota; Alphaproteobacteria; Hyphomicrobiales; Bartonellaceae.